This 468-nucleotide ribosomal RNA is filed under the name uncultured bacterium. Its description in RNAcentral is "partial 16S ribosomal RNA". It matches the Rfam family "Bacterial small subunit ribosomal RNA", at positions 28 to 507 of the family's 1533-position model. The record is from RNAcentral.
GACGAACGCUGGCGGCGUGCUUAACACAUGCAAGUCGAACGGAAAGGCCCUGCUUUUGUGGGGUGCUCGAGUGGCGAACGUGUGUGUAACACGUGAGUAACCUUCCCUUGACUUUGGGAUAACUUCAGGAAACUGGGGCUAAUACCGGAUAGGAGCUCCUGCUGCAUGGUGGGGGUUGGACAGUUUCGGCGGUUGGGGAUGGACUCGCGGCUUAUCAGCUUGUUGGUGGGGUAGUGGCUUACCAAGGCUUUGACGGGUAGCCGGCCUGAGAGGGUGACCGGCCACAUUGGGACUGAGAUACGGCACAGACUCCUACGGGAGGCAGCAGUGGAGAAUAUUGCACAGUGGGCGGAAGCCUGAUGCAGCAACGCCGCGUGCGGGAUGACGGCCUUCGGGUUGUAAACCGCUUUCGCCUGUGACGAAGCGUGAGUGACGGUAAUGGGUAAAGAAGCACCGGCUAACUACGUG